GGGCCCGCACAAGCGGUGGAUUAUGUGGUUUAAUUCGAAGCAACGCGCAGAACCUUACCUAGGCUUGAAAUCCUCAGAAUUCGACGUAAUGGUCGAAGUGCCCGCAAGGGAAUUGAGUGACAGGUGCUGCAUGGCUGUCGUCAGCUCGUGUUGUGAAAUGUUGGGUUAAGUCUCGCAACGAGCGCAACCCCUAUCUUUAGUUGCCAGCAUUAAGUUGGGCACUCUAGAGAGACUGCCGGUGCAAACCGCGAGGAAGGUGGGGAUGACGUCAAAUCAUCACGGCCCUUACGUCCUGGGCUACACACGUGCUACAAUGGCCGGUACAGAGGGCAGCCACACCGCAAGGUGGAGCGAA
RNAcentral lists this ribosomal RNA (355 nucleotides) under uncultured bacterium. RNAcentral describes it as "bacterial SSU rRNA". It matches the Rfam family "Bacterial small subunit ribosomal RNA", at positions 917 to 1271 of the family's 1533-position model. The record is from RNAcentral.